RNAcentral lists this ribosomal RNA (512 nucleotides) under Pseudomonas putida. RNAcentral's name for it is "partial 16S ribosomal RNA". It matches the Rfam family "Bacterial small subunit ribosomal RNA", at positions 61 to 570 of the family's 1533-position model. RNAcentral also lists the same sequence under 1 other name. Lineage: Bacteria; Pseudomonadati; Pseudomonadota; Gammaproteobacteria; Pseudomonadales; Pseudomonadaceae. The record is from RNAcentral.
AUCGAGCGGAUGACGGGAGCUUGCUCCUUGAUUCAGCGGCGGACGGGUGAGUAAUGCCUAGGAAUCUGCCUGGUAGUGGGGGACAACGUUUCGAAAGGAACGCUAAUACCGCAUACGUCCUACGGGAGAAAGCAGGGGACCUUCGGGCCUUGCGCUAUCAGAUGAGCCUAGGUCGGAUUAGCUAGUUGGUGAGGUAAUGGCUCACCAAGGCGACGAUCCGUAACUGGUCUGAGAGGAUGAUCAGUCACACUGGAACUGAGACACGGUCCAGACUCCUACGGGAGGCAGCAGUGGGGAAUAUUGGACAAUGGGCGAAAGCCUGAUCCAGCCAUGCCGCGUGUGUGAAGAAGGUCUUCGGAUUGUAAAGCACUUUAAGUUGGGAGGAAGGGCAGUAAGUUUUUACCUUGCUGUUUUGACGUUACCGACAGAGGGGGGGGGGGCUAACCCCCCCCAUCAUCCGCAGUAAUACNNAGGGUGCAAGCGUUAAUGGGAGUGGGGGGCGUAAAACGCUC